GAAGACAGGGUUUGCUCUUCUGGACUGUUGAGUUCCAUGAGGUCUAAAACCUUGAUCAGACAACUCCUGCAAAUGCACAGGUCUGCAUCAAUUGAGAGGGGUCAGGUUGCCAGCAAUGCCACACGACCUCCUUUCCGGGUGACAGGCUUGGCCCCUGCUCAUGCUCUUCCACGUGGCAGGUGGCGUUCAGGUGAGCAGCUGACUGGAGGAGCUUCUGAAAUCCCCACAGCGGCCUGUGUCCAUCACAAAAAUGAUGUUGAGAGCACAGGGACCCUCCUCACUCCACAGGGGAGUCGCGAGAGCAGUGGUCCGAACAAGAGUUCAGGACCUGGUCUGUCUUCGUUACCUCUGUAUUCCUGGAGCCUGGAAGAGAGGCACGGAGCUGGUACCCAAUAAAUAUCUGUUGAAUGGUGAAGGAGUAAAUUUGUUUCUGGCUGCUUCAGAUUCUUUUUGGUGCUACAAGAAAGCUUCUAGGUGCCCCGUCGUGACCUGGAUCAGCGCUGUGGAGUCAGGACACUGCAUCUCUGAGCUCUGGGAC
RNAcentral lists this long non-coding RNA (538 nucleotides) under Equus asinus (donkey). RNAcentral describes it as "lncRNA (ENSEASG00005024039.1)". The record is from RNAcentral. Lineage: Eukaryota; Metazoa; Chordata; Mammalia; Perissodactyla; Equidae.